RNAcentral lists this ribosomal RNA (357 nucleotides) under uncultured bacterium. RNAcentral's name for it is "bacterial SSU rRNA". It matches the Rfam family "Bacterial small subunit ribosomal RNA", at positions 29 to 416 of the family's 1533-position model. The record is from RNAcentral.
AACGAACGCUGGCGGCAGGCCUAACACAUGCAAGUCGAACGCUCCGCAAGGGGAGUGGCGCACGGGUGAGUAACACGUGGGAACCUACCUUCUGGUACGGAACAACCAAGGGAAACUUUGGCUAAGACCGUAUACGACCUCCGGGUGAAAGAUUGAUCGCCGGAAGAGGGGCCCGCGUCCGAUUAGGUAGUUGGUGAGGUAACGGCUCACCAAGCCUUCGAUCGGUAGCUGGUCUGAGAGGAUGACCAGCCACACUGGGACUGAGACACGGCCAGACUCCUACGGGAGGCAGCAGUGGGGAAUCUUGCGCAAUGGGCGAAAGCCUGACGCAGCGACGCCGCGUGAGGGAUGACGGCC